This is a long non-coding RNA of Carassius gibelio (silver crucian carp), 3853 nucleotides long. RefSeq lists it as uncharacterized. The record is from RefSeq and is a predicted model, not a curated record. The transcript is spliced from 4 exons. NCBI's taxonomy places the organism in Eukaryota, Metazoa, Chordata, Actinopteri, Cypriniformes, Cyprinidae.
GUGAGAGUUUGUUGCUUAAUUUUAGCUGUAUUCAACCAAUUUUUUCAAACAUUGAUUCACUUAUCAACGCAAGAAAUGGCUGUGUCCCAAAUCACAUACUUUUUAGUUACUGUUUUGAGUAAUUAGCUAAUGACCGCAAAGGAUGUUCUUUGACCCUAUCCCAAAUGCCGCAUUUCAUGUGCACUUAUCCGGUGCAUUCCAAACAGCAUAUAUCACCCUUCGAAGGGCACUUCAGAGUGAAGACAACCAUGGCCACCAUAUUGAAGAGUUGUUCCAAACCGAAUUGCUUAAAACUGGCCACUUAAAGGGCCAUUCGGAAUGAAGGGCUUCAAUUGGUAAAAUUUAUGGUACCCAUGAUCCUUUGCACCCUUUGACGGGAUUAGGGCAUGGGGAAGAGCCCUUCUUAAAGGAACGCAGUGAUGGUCUUGCGGACUUGCAAUGGCCUCUGUGUGUGUAUGUCCAUUAAGUCCUUGAGAUCGUAGGGUCCAUAGCUUUCAAGAGGGUGCUUGUGUUCCUCCUUUGCAGCCGCUAUGCAUGGCAAAGUCUGUAGCAGACUUGUAGCCGAAAGUCAAAGCAUCUGUACAUAGCGAAAGUGUGGACUGUUGUGUUGCAUCACUGCCAUUCAUUAAGCCUCUCCGUGGCCUAAUGGGAUAGUAAAGUUUCCAUCAAAUGCAUACAUCAGAAUCUCACUGGAAGUAAUAGGUUACUUCCAGGUACUUUUUCCCUAGUGUUUUAUUAUACUGUGCAUCUAGACAUUCUUCUUCGGUCACAUUCUGAUUUUCUCAUAGGAUAUGGUAGGGAAGCAUGCUAUUUCAAUACAGCCAAAGACUGACUAGAGUUGAAUCAUUUAACUGACUCGUUCAAAAACAAGUUCCUUUGUGACAGAGUCAUUGAAUUAUUCACUGAAUUGUUAAAAAAAAAAAUGAAACACCACUUUGCUGCUAUUAGAAAUAUUGCAUAAACGGAUUGCAGCAUUGUAUCUAAAAUAUAAGUCACACAGUGUGUGAAAUACCCAUCUGUCAUUAAUGUUAACCAACAAAAGACGUUAAAUAAAUGUAUACAUGUUAAGUUAAACCUACAGUAUCUGAAAACUGAGUUUAAUUUGUAUCUCUAUUGUAUUUGUUUUAUUGUGCUUCUUUAAUAUAUAUAAGUUGCUCCUUUUUCACUUCUGUUAAAUUGAUAGUUCACCCAAAAAUGAAAAUUGUCAUCAUUUAUUCAAGAUUUUCCUAAAUGUAUUCCUUGAUUCAAAUUUCUCAUAAGCUUAAUUGAUUUGGUCUAAAGAGAGAAUUAAUGAUUAUUUUAAUUUGAAAACUACAUAUAAAUUAGCUAUUACUGUGUUAAUGACUUGGCAUCAUUCCAGGGAGGCAUAAGUGCAAGUGUUUUUUUGUUACAACUUGAUGAACCACUGAAACGAUUUCGGAAACAUUAUUUUAAGGUAAAAAUUUUUACAUAGUGUUGCUUUAAGGACAUUUUUAUGGUGGCUUUUAAUUUUGCAUCAAAUAGUGAACUGCAUACUGUAUGCAGACUUUCAUUUACAAAUCACCAGCAAUAAAUAUUGUGCUAGCAGAGGGGGCCCAAUUAGAUUUUUCUGUCAUGGGGCCCAAUAUUCCUGGCAGCGCCCCUGGAAAAAAACGUUUUUCAUUGAACUAUUAAGAAAAGAAAUAUCAGACAGUCAUGUUGCCUUAUUGUAUAUAUUCAGCUUCACAGAAACAGUCUGAGGCAUCUAGUUCUAAAGUGACGUUCUAGUAUUAAUAACAAAGGAACAACGUCUCAACUCACCAAAAAAAAAAAAAAAAAUGCGUGGGAAUGCAGCGUUUUGUUGUUGUUCCUUUAUUUUAUUUAUUUGUUUAUCAUUGUCUUUAUGGUUCACAUUUUUACAGCCCCUGGUAGUGUUUGAUGUUUGGAAAAAUAAUGUUAAGAAGCAGUGCAUUCAGGUGUUUAAAGACUUUCUUCAUAACUGGCAAACCAUAGCAGGUUUGGUUUCAGUUCAUUGUACUUAAAUAUUUAGUUAAUCCACUACUCUCUUUGUUCUCUGUCUCGUCGAGUAUCACAUUACUGUUUUACGAAAUAUCUGAUACCGCACACAAUAUGUGGUUUGUUUAGUCAGAAACACGUAUAAGCUGAUCCCUCACCAAAGUUCUUCUUAUUUUAUUUUAGUUUAGUUUUUAUAUAUUUAUUUAUUUUUAACUCUCCUGGUGAGAGCAAUAAAAAUCUUUGUAUGGUUUUGUCAGGUGGAGUUACAAAUGGUGCUGCAAGUACAACUAAAAUCUGGUUUUCUGCACAUAUACAAGAGAGAAACACUAAAAUUAUGAGCAAUAGUAGGUUGACCAUGCAUCCUCUUCUUUCCUGGACAUCUCCUGGCCAGGAGUAGGUGGAUUAAUAGCAUACAGGUAUUAUACUGCUCAUGCUAAUAUGCAUACAGAUGUUAAAUGAAGACUAGAAAGCAUGACAAUAGGAGAAAAGAGCCAAAACUUAGACAUUUUAUGCAAGGACAGGACAUGUCUUGGAAAAAGAGGAUGUAUAGUCACAGUAAUAAUAUGUAUAGGUUGGUGCAAUGUUUCAGUUGAAGUUUCAUGGCCAGUGAGAAAUAUCUAUGGACAAAUGUGUGAUAGAAUAGGUGUGACCAAAAAAAUGAAUUUCAGACCUUGGGUGGUGUUAAUGUAUGCCGUAUAGACCAAAUAAAUCAUAGUGUAUUCUUUCAUAAAGAUUCAUAACAGAUGCUCUGAAUCUGACAUCCACUCAAUAUUUAGCAGUUAUUCGGUCCCACACAUUGCGAUCUGACAAGAUCAGCUUUAUCAGAUUUAACGUGUUUUCUCUUGAGUGUUGUUGUUUAGAUCGGGGUAAAUAAGCAAUAUCUGUUUUCUCAUUCAGAUAAGAUUGUGGUAUGCACUGUGAACAUGUUGAGACUCAUUUAUGCUGUUAAACUUAAACCCUCAUGAAUAGUUCAGGGUAUAAAAGAGGGUGAAGAGCGAUGGGAAGGGGAGAUCAUCAUUACACAAGGGGAUAAAAGGAGGGCAGAAACCAAACCUUUUCGAUAAGCCACAGCAACGCCAGCGUGAAGAUGUCCAAACCAAUCUGUCUGCUGUUUGCCCUGGUGAUUCUGACCACAAUUCUGUGCAACAACUCAGUCUGUUCACAAAGGAGAAAAGAUGCUGUUUGUGGCUGCAAAGUUCAUCCUUCGAAGGGGCUACAGUGUAGAAACCACAGAGUGAAAGACUACAAGAAAAUUGUUAGGUGUAUUUGCAGUAACCCUGAAACAUAUUAUAACGAAGGCAACAAGGAACAGUUUGAACAGAUUUGCAGCUCAAAAUAUAAAUCUAUUUCUAUUCCUUUGUGAUCUGAUGAAAUUGUGCUGCUUUAUAUAGAGCUCCAGUAUGAUAAUCACAUAUAUACCAGACUCAAUCUUUAAAGUCUAGGAUCAGUUUACUUUAACGUAAUCCUGAAAAUGCUCUGAUUUUAACUGUUAUAAAUGUGAUAUUUUGCUUGCAUCUUAAAGCAACACGAUAAAAGUAUGUAAAACAUAAACUGUGUUUUUCUGUCAUUGUGUGUUGUUGUUUGAUUUGAGUUAAACACACAAGAAGUCCUGUCUCAUUCAGGUAAAACAUGUUAUACACUGUGAACAUGUUGAGACUCAUAAACAUGUUUGUGCCAUUAAUGAACAGUUCAGAGUAUAAAAAUGGAUAAAGUGGGAACUGUGCUGCUUUAAAUAAAGCUUCAACAUGAUUUAUCUCAUAUCGAUAGCCAACGUGCAUGAUGAAUUUACUGUAAUAUAAUCACGAUAAUGCUCUGUUACAAAUGUGAUUGGUUGAUUGUAUCUUUUACAGCAAAACAAUAAAAGUAUGUAAAACAUAAA